This 497-nucleotide ribosomal RNA is filed under the name uncultured bacterium. RNAcentral's name for it is "partial 16S ribosomal RNA". It matches the Rfam family "Bacterial small subunit ribosomal RNA", at positions 28 to 507 of the family's 1533-position model. The record is from RNAcentral.
GAUGAACGCUGGCGGCGUGCCUAAUACAUGCGAGUCGAGCGAACAGACGAGGAGCUUGCUCCUCUGACGUUAGCGGCGGACGGGUGAGUAACACGUGGAUAACCUACCUAUAAGACUGGGAUAACUUCGGGAAACCGGAGCUAAUACCGGAUAAUAUAUUGAACCGCAUGGUUCAAUAGUGAAAGACGGUUUUGCUGUCACUUAUAGAUGGAUCCGCGCCGCAUUAGCUAGUUGGUAAAGUAACGGCUUACCAAGGCAACGAUGCGUAGCCGACCUGAGAGGGUGAUCGGCCACACUGGAACUGAGACACGGUCCAGACUCCUACGGGAGGCAGCAGUAGGGAAUCUUCCGCAAUGGGCGAAAGCCUGACGGAGCAACGCCGCGUGAGUGAUGAAGGUCUUCGGAUCGUAAAACUCUGUUAUUAGGGAAGAACAAAUGUGUAAGUAACUAUGCACGUCUUGACGGUACCUAAUCAGAAAGCCACGGCUAACUACGUG